UACGGAGGGUGCAAGCGUUGUUCGGAAUUACUGGGCGUAAAGGGCGCGUAGGCGGCUGGGGAAGUCCGAUGUGAAAGCCCGGGGCUCAACUCCGGAAGUGCAUUGGAAACUCCCUGGCUUGAGUUCGGGAGAGGAGGGCAGAAUUCCCGGUGUAGGGUUGAAAUCCGUAGAUAUCGGGAGGAAAACCGGUGGCGAAGGCGGCCCUCUGGAACGAAACUGACGCUGAGGCGCGAAAGCGUGGGGAGCAAAC
This 250-nucleotide ribosomal RNA is filed under the name uncultured bacterium. RNAcentral's name for it is "partial 16S ribosomal RNA". It matches the Rfam family "Bacterial small subunit ribosomal RNA", at positions 524 to 773 of the family's 1533-position model. The record is from RNAcentral.